CUCGUAGGCGGUUCGUCGCGUCCGGUGUGAAAGUCCAUCGCUUAACGGUGGAUCCGCGCCGGGUACGGGCGGGCUUGAGUGCGGUAGGGGAGACUGGAAUUCCCGGUGUAACGGUGGAAUGUGUAGAUAUCGGGAAGAACACCGGAGGCGAAGGCGGCCCGCUGGACAAAUACUGACGCUGAGGCGCGAAAGCGUGGGGAGCAAACA
This 207-nucleotide ribosomal RNA is filed under the name uncultured bacterium. Its description in RNAcentral is "partial 16S ribosomal RNA". It matches the Rfam family "Bacterial small subunit ribosomal RNA", at positions 568 to 774 of the family's 1533-position model. The record is from RNAcentral.